GCCCCGUGUUGCCCAGGCCGGAGUGUAGUGAUGCGAUCUUACCUCACUGCAGCUUUGAGUUCCUGGGCGUGGCACAAGCAGUUCUUGAACUCCUGGCCUCAAGCGAUCCUCCUGCCUUGGCCUCCCAAGCUGCUGGGAUUACAGGCGUGAGCCACUGCACCCAGCUGGAAUGCACAUUCUAAGUUACAAGAUCAAAUAACAAGGGAAAGAAGACUUGAUUAUGUAUACACACACAAAAAGAAAGUGUUAUCAAAACUGACAAGAAAAAGAAUAUUUAGAAGAAGGAGCACAAGAAAGAGGACACCCUUAACAGAAAAGUUAUUCAUUUCCAAUUUAAGACUCAUCAAGGGAUAAAAUCUGAAAACUUAUAAAGGAUACUUAUUACAGAAAAAAUUUAAGGGGAAACUGGUGCUGUGGAGAGACCCAUGUGGAAAGGAACUGAGGACUCCCGGCAAAAGUCACCAAGGACCGAGGUUGCUGACAGCUGCAUGUGAACUCGGAAGCAGAUCAAUCCUUGCCCAAGCCCACACUUUGUCUACAGCCUUGGUGAGAGACCCUGAGCCAGGGAUGCACAUCCAAGCUGCACCCAAACUCUUGACCCACAGAAACUGUGAGAUGAUGAAUGUGUUUAAGCCCCCAUAUUGUGGAGUCAUUUAUUACACAGCAAUAGAUGGCUAAGAUGAGCACUAUUUUUAUCCCCUUGUGAGUUCAUGGCUUGGUCUCCCUACCUCCCACUGACUAAAUGUGGCUAAAGCAAAAUCCAAUAACCAGCUGUCUCUGAACAAUAUUAACUGAAUGCCUACUGUUUACUAGCAUGACAGGAAUUCAAAAGAGUUUAUGAGGGAAAUGGCCACAGUGAGGCAGAGGAUUUACAUGCUGGGAAGGCUUCAUCCUGGCAAAUUACCCAGGGCAGACCUUCCCUCCUUCACUGUCUAAAAUAUCCAACUCUUAUAGUUUCAAAUCCCCAUCUCUUAUUGUCUGUCUUAUAGAAACCACCCU
Molecule: long non-coding RNA, 999 nt
Filed under: Homo sapiens (human)
Lineage: Eukaryota; Metazoa; Chordata; Mammalia; Primates; Hominidae
Description: HSALNT0347144
Source: RNAcentral